Molecule: ribosomal RNA, 344 nt
Filed under: uncultured bacterium
Lineage: Bacteria
Description: bacterial SSU rRNA
Rfam family: Bacterial small subunit ribosomal RNA
Source: RNAcentral
CCAGCCUCAUAGUCUGGGACAACAAUUGGAAACGAUUGCUAAUACCGGAUAUUCCCUACGGGGGAAAGAUUUAUCGCUAUGAGAUGGGCCUAUCUCCUAUCAGCUAGUUGGUAAGGUAAUGGCUUACCAAGGCAAUGACGGGUAGCUGGUCUUAGAGGACGAUCAGCCACACUGGAACUGAGACACGGUCCAGACUCCUACGGGAGGCAGCAGUGGGGAAUAUUGCACAAUGGGGGAAACCCUGAUGCANNNNCGCCGCGUGGAGGAUGACGCAUUUCGGUGUGUAAACUCCUUUUAUCAAGGAAGAAAUUUGACGGUACUUGAUGAAUAAGCACCGGCUAACU